AUUGAACGCUGGCGGCAGGCCUAACACAUGCAAGUCGAGCGGAUGAAGGGAGCUUGCUCCUGGAUUCAGCGGCGGACGGGUGAGUAAUGCCUAGGAAUCUGCCUGGUAGUGGGGGAUAACGUCCGGAAACGGGCGCUAAUACCGCAUACGUCCUGAGGGAGAAAGUGGGGGAUCUUCGGACCUCACGCUAUCAGAUGAGCCUAGGUCGGAUUAGCUAGUUGGUGGGGUAAAGGCCUACCAAGGCGACGAUCCGUAACUGGUCUGAGAGGAUGAUCAGUCACACUGGAACUGAGACACGAUCCAGACUCCUACGGGAGGCAGCAGUGGGGAAUAUUGGACAAUGGGCGAAAGCCUGAUCCAGCCAUGCCGCGUGUGUGAAGAAGGUCUUCGGAUUGUAAAGCACUUUAAGUUGGGAGGAAGGGCAGUAAGUUAAUACCUUGCUGUUUCGACGUUACCAACAGAAUAAGCACCGGCUAACUUCGUG
This 484-nucleotide ribosomal RNA is filed under the name uncultured bacterium. RNAcentral describes it as "partial 16S ribosomal RNA". It matches the Rfam family "Bacterial small subunit ribosomal RNA", at positions 30 to 507 of the family's 1533-position model. The record is from RNAcentral.